AGGGCUGUGGCUCAGGGGCAGAGCAUUUGCUUGGCAUGGAAAAGGCCCCAGGUUCAAUCCCCGGCAUCUCUA
This 72-nucleotide transfer RNA is filed under the name Sphaerodactylus townsendi. RNAcentral describes it as "tRNA-Ala". It matches the Rfam family "tRNA". Rfam says of the family: Transfer RNA (tRNA) molecules are approximately 80 nucleotides in length. Their secondary structure includes four short double-helical elements and three loops (D, anti-codon, and T loops). Further hydrogen bonds mediate the characteristic L-shaped molecular structure. tRNAs have two regions of fundamental functional importance: the anti-codon, which is responsible for specific mRNA codon recognition, and the 3' end, to which the tRNAs corresponding amino acid is attached (by aminoacyl-tRNA synthetases). tRNAs cope with the degeneracy of the genetic code in two manners: having more than one tRNA (with a specific anti-codon) for a particular amino acid; and 'wobble' base-pairing, i.e. permitting non-standard base-pairing at the 3rd anti-codon position. Lineage: Eukaryota; Metazoa; Chordata; Lepidosauria; Squamata; Sphaerodactylidae. The record is from RNAcentral.